RNAcentral lists this transfer RNA (74 nucleotides) under Pleodorina starrii. RNAcentral's name for it is "tRNA-Lys". It matches the Rfam family "tRNA". Rfam says of the family: Transfer RNA (tRNA) molecules are approximately 80 nucleotides in length. Their secondary structure includes four short double-helical elements and three loops (D, anti-codon, and T loops). Lineage: Eukaryota; Viridiplantae; Chlorophyta; Chlorophyceae; Chlamydomonadales; Volvocaceae. The record is from RNAcentral.
GCCCGGUUAGCUCAGUCGGUAGAGCGCAAGGCUCUUAACCUUGUGGUCGUGGGUUCGAGCCCCACAUUGGCGCU